AGCCUCGUAGCUCAAUUGGCUAGAGCAUUGGCUGUACUAAACCCUUUCCCUUGCUGACGUAGUUUCGAAUCCCACCGAGGCCG
RNAcentral lists this transfer RNA (83 nucleotides) under Schistocephalus solidus. It matches the Rfam family "tRNA". From Rfam's summary of the family: Transfer RNA (tRNA) molecules are approximately 80 nucleotides in length. Their secondary structure includes four short double-helical elements and three loops (D, anti-codon, and T loops). The record is from Rfam by way of RNAcentral. Lineage: Eukaryota; Metazoa; Platyhelminthes; Cestoda; Diphyllobothriidea; Diphyllobothriidae.